CGACAUUCUGGCUUCAGAUGUUAGCCAGUUUGAUGACUGUCAAAAUACAGUACAUGAUAUGAAAGUUUUCCUUUUGGAAGCAAGGAAUCAAGAACAUGUGACUUCUAUUUUACUUCAUUUAUAUUUUUGGGCUCCAAAACUAUGGCUAUUAUUUUAAUCAUUUUCAGGUGAGCAGAAGCAUAUUCAGCAAGUACAGUGGACCAGUUGAUAUCUGGUUAUCCAAGUUAAUUGCUUGAUGUUUCCAAGUAGGCAAUUACAUUGCUCGCUCAAUGAUGACCCCAGUAAGACCUAUGCAGCAAUGGCUCAACACAGAAGCCAAUGGAUUUGGUUUGAAUACUUAACCUAAAACCUUUUUUUUAUUUUUUUAAUUAUAAACUUAAGCAAGACUAAUGGAGAAGGUUUCAUGGCCUUCUUUUUCUUUUUUUUUUUCUUUAUUUAUUUAUUUAUUUUUAUUUUGGGACAGUAGGGUGGUCUUGGUGGGGUGCAGAGAUGGGCUUAGACGAGGUUAGGAUUGGGAAGAGUUAGAAAGAGA
RNAcentral lists this long non-coding RNA (532 nucleotides) under Olea europaea subsp. europaea. The record is from RNAcentral. Lineage: Eukaryota; Viridiplantae; Streptophyta; Magnoliopsida; Lamiales; Oleaceae.